Molecule: ribosomal RNA, 424 nt
Filed under: uncultured Nitrosomonas sp.
Lineage: Bacteria; Pseudomonadati; Pseudomonadota; Betaproteobacteria; Nitrosomonadales; Nitrosomonadaceae
Description: bacterial SSU rRNA
Rfam family: Bacterial small subunit ribosomal RNA
Source: RNAcentral
CAAGACCUUGCGCUGAAGGAGCGGCCGAUGUCUGAUUAGCUUGUUGGUGAGGUAAAGGCUUACCAAGGCAACGAUCAGUAGUUGGUCUGAGAGGACGGCCAACCACACUGGGACUGAGACACGGCCCAGACUCCUACGGGAGGCAGCAGUGGGGAAUUUUGGACAAUGGGCGAAAGCCUGAUCCAGCCAUGCCGCGUGAGUGAAGAAGGCCUUCGGGUUGUAAAGCUCUUUCAGUCGGAAAGAAGAGAUCAUGACUAAUACUCAUGAUUCGUGACGGUACCGACAGAAGAAGCACCGGCUAACUACGUGCCAGCAGCCGCGGUAAUACGUAGGGUGCGAGCGUUAAUCGGAAUUACUGGGCGUAAAGGGCGCGCAGGCGGUCUUGCAAGUCGGAUGUGAAAGCCCCGGGCUUAACCUGGGAAUU